RNAcentral lists this ribosomal RNA (525 nucleotides) under uncultured bacterium. Its description in RNAcentral is "bacterial SSU rRNA". It matches the Rfam family "Bacterial small subunit ribosomal RNA", at positions 8 to 526 of the family's 1533-position model. The record is from RNAcentral.
AGAGUUUGAUCAUGGCUCAGGAUGAACGCUAGCGGCAGGCCUAACACAUGCAAGUCGAACGGUAAGUUGAAAGCUUGCUUUCAACACGAGUGGCGCACGGGUGCGUAACGCGUAUGCAAUCUACCCUUUUCAGGAGGAUAGCCCUUAGAAAUGAGGAUUAAUACUCCAUAGUAUAACAAUUUCGCAUGUUAUUGUUAUUAAAGCUUCGGCGGAAAAGGAUGAGCAUGCGUCCCAUUAGUUUGUUGGUGAGGUAACGGCUCACCAAGACUGCGAUGGGUAGGGGGCCUGAGAGGGUUAUCCCCCACACUGGUACUGAGACACGGACCAGACUCCUACGGGAGGCAGCAGUGAGGAAUAUUGGUCAAUGGACGGAAGUCUGAACCAGCCAUGCCGCGUGCAGGAUGACUGCCCUAUGGGUUGUAAACUGCUUUUAUAUAGGAAGAAACCUUUCUACGUGUAGAGAGCUGACGGUACUAUAAGAAUAAGGACCGGCUAACUCCGUGCCAGCAGCCGCCGCGGUAAUAC